This 443-nucleotide ribosomal RNA is filed under the name uncultured bacterium. RNAcentral describes it as "partial 16S ribosomal RNA". It matches the Rfam family "Bacterial small subunit ribosomal RNA", at positions 338 to 795 of the family's 1533-position model. The record is from RNAcentral.
CCUACGGGUGGCAGCAGUGGGGAAUAUUGGGCAAUGGGCGCAAGCCUGACCCAGCAACGCCGCGUGAAGGAAGAAGGCUUUCGGGUUGUAAACUUCUUUUCUCAGGGACGAAGAAAGUGACGGUACCUGAGGAAUAAGCCACGGCCAACUACGUGCCAGCAGCCGCGGUAAUACGGAGGUGGCAAGCGUUAGCCGGAUUUACGGGGUGUAAAGGGCGUGUAGGCGGGACUGCAAGUCAGAUGUGAAAACCACGGGCUCAACCUGUGGCCUGCAGUUGAAACUGUAGUUCUUGAGUACUGACGAGGCAGAUGGAAUUCCUGGUGUAGCGGUGAAAUGCGUAGAUAUUAGGAGGAACACCAGUGGCGAAGGCGGUCUGCUGGGCAGCAACUGACGCUGAGGCGCGAAAGCGUGGGGAGCAAACAGGAUUAGAUACCCUUGUAGUC